RNAcentral lists this ribosomal RNA (433 nucleotides) under uncultured bacterium. RNAcentral's name for it is "partial 16S ribosomal RNA". It matches the Rfam family "Bacterial small subunit ribosomal RNA", at positions 29 to 507 of the family's 1533-position model. The record is from RNAcentral.
AACGAACGCUGGCGGCAUGCCUAACACAUGCAAGUCGAACGAGACCUUCGGGUCUAGUGGCGCACGGGUGCGUAACGCGUGGGAACCUGCCCUUAGGCUCGGAAUAACUCCCCGAAAGGGGUGCUAAUACCGGAUAAUGUCUUCGGACCAAAGAUUUAUCGCUUUUGGAUGGGCCCGCGUUGGAUUAGCUAGUUGGUAGGGUAAAAGCCUACCAAGGCGACGAUCCAUAGCUGGUCUGAGAGGAUGAUCAGCCACACUGGGACUGAGACACGGCCCAGACUCCUACGGGAGGCAGCAGUGGGGAAUAUUGGACAAUGGGCGAAAGCCUGAUCCAGCAAUGCCGCGUGAGUGAUGAAGGCCUUAGGGUUGUAAAGCUCUUUUACCCGGGAUGAUAAUGACAGUACCGGGAGAAUAAGCUCCGGCUAACUCCGUG